GGCCCGCCCCUGCACUCACUGGCAGUGGUGGCGGGAAGCGGAGCAACACAGUUGGGAGCUGACAGAGCGAAGCGGGCUGGGGCUUCCCGCUGUUGAUUAAUGCUCAAACUAUGAUAGGUGUUUGGACAAGAUCCAGUGAUGGCCAACUUGUAGCUAGUCUACAAGGAAAGGGAAACAGUACAAGACACCCUGUGCCUCUCUACAGAGGAGCCAGCAAACCCUGCAAGGACUGAGAGAAAGUACUAGGCGCUCACUGGAGCAAAGCAUUGCAAGCCAGAUGCCUUGAAAUUCUAUUUACAUGGACUAUGUGGGAAGCUCAUCCUCUCAAGUCCUAUGCAUAAACUUCAUUCAAUGAAAGAAACACAUCUAAACCUGGAAAUCUUCCAAAUAGGUCUCUCUGAUAUCCUUUCAAUGCCUUCCUUUGAUAUACACAAAAUGAUCUAUUUCCAAUCUAAUGAAUGAAAUAAAUUAAUAGCAUCCUGCACUAGCCUGGCUCAGUAGAUCAAUGAGAUUUAAUCACUUUUGGCACAAAAUUAAUGUGAGGUCAGCAUUUUCAGUUGGCAUCCUGCCAUUAUUACAGAAAUGACAUUCUCCUGGUAAGUAGUUGAACUUAUAAAAUACAUAAUGACAAAAGAACAGAACUUACUCUUAAGCUUUCAACAUUUUCAAUUCGUAAAAAUAU
This is a long non-coding RNA of Mauremys reevesii (Reeves's turtle), 682 nucleotides long. RefSeq lists it as uncharacterized. The transcript is spliced from 3 exons. The record is from RefSeq and is a predicted model, not a curated record. Lineage: Eukaryota; Metazoa; Chordata; Testudines; Geoemydidae.